AGAGUUUGAUCCUGGCUCAGAACGAACGCUGGCGGCGUGGAUAAGACAUGCAAGUCGCACGGAGAAAAGAUAGUUUACUAGCUUUUCUGAGUGGCGCACGGGUGAGUAACACGUGAGCAACCUGCCUCUUAGUGGGGGAUAGCCCUGGGAAACCGGGAUUAAUACCGCAUAUCAUCGCAAGAUGAAAGCAGCAAUGCGCUAAGAGAGGGGCUCGCGGCCUAUUAGUUAGUUGGUGAGGUAACGGCUCACCAAGGCGAUGACGGGUAGCCGGUCUGAGAGGAUGUCCGGCCACACUGGAACUGAGACACGGUCCAGACACCUACGGGUGGCAGCAGUCGAGAAUCAUUCACAAUGGGGGAAACCCUGAUGGUGCGACGCCGCGUGGGGGAAGAAGGUCUUCGGAUUGUAAACCCCUGUCAUGUGGGAGCAAGCUAGCAAUAGUUGAUAGUACCACAAGAGGAAGAGACGGCUAACUCUGUGCCAGCAGCCGCGGUAAUACAGAGGUCUCAAGCGUUGUUCGGAAUCACUGGGCGUAAAGGGUACGUAGGCUGUACCAUAAGUCGGGCGUGAAAGGCA
RNAcentral lists this ribosomal RNA (576 nucleotides) under uncultured bacterium. RNAcentral describes it as "bacterial SSU rRNA". It matches the Rfam family "Bacterial small subunit ribosomal RNA", at positions 8 to 603 of the family's 1533-position model. The record is from RNAcentral.